RNAcentral lists this ribosomal RNA (460 nucleotides) under uncultured bacterium. Its description in RNAcentral is "partial 16S ribosomal RNA". It matches the Rfam family "Bacterial small subunit ribosomal RNA", at positions 338 to 795 of the family's 1533-position model. The record is from RNAcentral.
CCUACGGGCUGCUGCAGCGAGGAAUAUUGGUCAAUGGACGAGAGUCUGAACCAGCCAAGUAGCGUGAAGGAUGACUGCCCUAUGGGUUGUAAACUUCUUUUAUAUGGGAAUAAAAUGUUCCACGUGUGGGAUUUUGUAUGUACCAUAUGAAUAAGGAUCGGCUAACUCCGUGCCAGCAGCCGCGGUAAUACGGAGGAUCCGAGCGUUAUCCGGAUUUAUUGGGUUUAAAGGGAGCGUAGGUGGAUUGUUAAGUCAGUUGUGAAAGUUUGCGACUCAACCGUAAAAUUGCAGUUGAAACUGGCAGUCUUGAGUACAGUAGAGGUGGGCGGAAUUCGUGGUGUAGCGGUGAAAUGCUUAGAUAUCACGAAGAACUCCGAUUGCGAAGGCAGUUCACUGGACUGCAACUGACACUGAGGCUCGAAAGUGUGGGUAUCAAACAGGAUUAGAUACCCCUGUAGUC